RNAcentral lists this ribosomal RNA (513 nucleotides) under uncultured bacterium. RNAcentral describes it as "partial 16S ribosomal RNA". It matches the Rfam family "Bacterial small subunit ribosomal RNA", at positions 28 to 523 of the family's 1533-position model. The record is from RNAcentral.
GACGAACGCUGGUGGCAUGCCUAAUACAUGCAAGUCGAGCGAACAGAUGAAGUGCUUGCACUUCUGACGUUAGCGGCGAACGGGUGAGUAACACGUAAGGAAUCUACCUAUAAGCGGGGGAUAACAUUCGGAAACGGGUGCUAAUACCGCAUAAUAUUUUCUUCCGCAUGGAAGAAAAUUGAAAGACGGCUCUGCUGUCCUUUAUAGAUGACCUUGCGGUGCAUUAGUUAGUUGGUGGGGUAACGGCCUACCAAGACGAUGAUGCAUAGCCGACCUGAGAGGGUGAUCGGCCACAUUGGGACUGAGACACGGCCCAAACUCCUACGGGAGGCAGCAGUAGGGAAUCUUCCGCAAUGGGCGAAAGCCUGACGGAGCAAUGCCGCGUGAGUGAGGAAGGCCUUCGGGUCGUAAAACUCUGUUAUAAGAGAAGAACAAAUUGUAGAGUAACUGCUACAGUCUUGACGGUAUCUUAUCAGAAAGCCACGGCUAACUACGUGCCAGCAGCCGCAGUAA